RNAcentral lists this ribosomal RNA (207 nucleotides) under uncultured bacterium. RNAcentral describes it as "partial 16S ribosomal RNA". It matches the Rfam family "Bacterial small subunit ribosomal RNA", at positions 568 to 774 of the family's 1533-position model. The record is from RNAcentral.
CUCGUAGGCGGCUGGUCGCGUCUGUCGUGAAAACUUCCGGCUCAACCGGGGGCUUGCGGUGGGUACGGGCCGGCUAGAGUGCGGUAGGGGUAACUGGAACUCCUGGUGUAGCGGUGGAAUGCGCAGAUAUCAGGAAGAACACCGAUGGCGAAGGCAGGUUACUGGGCCGUUACUGACGCUGAGGAGCGAAAGCGUGGGGAGCGAACA